RNAcentral lists this ribosomal RNA (449 nucleotides) under uncultured bacterium. Its description in RNAcentral is "bacterial SSU rRNA". It matches the Rfam family "Bacterial small subunit ribosomal RNA", at positions 329 to 793 of the family's 1533-position model. The record is from RNAcentral.
GGCCAGACUCCUACGGGAGGCAGCAGUGGGGAAUAUUGCACAAUGGGGGGAACCCUGAUGCAGCGACGCCGCGUGGGUGAAGAAGCGCCUCGGCGCGUAAAGCCCUGUCAGCAGGGAAGAAAAUGACGGUACCUGAAGAAGAAGCCCCGGCUAACUACGUGCCAGCAGCCGCGGUAAUACGUAGGGGGCAAGCGUUAUCCGGAUUUACUGGGUGUAAAGGGGGCGCAGACGGCGAUGCAAGCCAGGAGUGAAAGCCCGGGGCCCAACCCCGGGACUGCUCUUGGAACUGCGUGGCUGGAGUGCAGGAGGGGCAGGCGGAAUUCCUGGUGUAGCGGUGAAAUGCGUAGAUAUCAGGAGGAACACCGGUGGCGAAGGCGGCCUGCUGGACUGCAACUGACGUUGAGGCCCGAAAGCGUGGGGAGCAAACAGGAUUAGAUACCCCCGUAGAG